Non-coding RNA from Mycena polygramma, 92 nucleotides. Lineage: Eukaryota; Fungi; Basidiomycota; Agaricomycetes; Agaricales; Mycenaceae. The record is from the annotation of a GenBank genome assembly.
GGCCCGGUGGUGUAGCGGUAACACAUCCUCUUAUAUUCAGACGGAUGUACAGUGCUUAUGAGGGAGUGCCUUGUUUGAAUCAAGGCUGGCCG